UUCAAUCUUUGCAGAUAUUUUUUGAGCUCUUGGCCAAGGGUGGAACUGUCUAAGGGAUGAUAAAAGUUAGGCAAAUACAGAGAAAAAACAUAUUUUAAUGUUCUGUGAGCCAUUUUGAAUGUUUAAUGGCAACAUAUUUCUCUUCGAUUGUAAUUUUUUUUUGUUCAAGUAAAACUUUGACUAUUUUUAAAAAUUAUAUGGUUUCGAGGAACCAAUAUUUUGAUAUUAUAGAAAACUAAAAGAAACAAAGGUUUCAAUAAAAUUUUCAAAAAAAGGUUUAAAACUAAUUUUGCUUUGUUUUUACGGGUUUGUGGUUGACGAGUGACGACCGUGGACUUAUUUUUUUAAACUUGGUGAAUCUCUCUUAUUUAAAUAGAAACAUUGUUUGGAAUAAAUUUUACUCCAUCCAAGCAUAUCUGUUAACCUCCAUCACCUUAGGUUAUUCAUAAUAAUGAAAGAUAAUUUACAUUUACUGAUUCAGCCUCUUUUUGUGCUGUUGGUGAUGCUGUGAUCAUGCAGUUUGUGAAUGGAACUGGGAAACACGUAGGAAUCAGAGUGGACUACUCAACUGCUGCCUGGUUAAACACGUAAGUUUAUUUAAAUGAAGUAACAUUGUAUUGUCUGAUAAAACAUCAAAGCCAUUUGUGGCUGUUACCUGAAUGAAGGUAGCUAGGAAUAGAGCAUACACAGUCGAUUCAGAAAAUUAUCUAACCAAACCAUUUGUUUCUAUGUACGUCGGUGUAGCCUAUUUGCUUUGGUUAUCCGAAUAUGAAAGACUGGUAAGCCUUCCACUUUUAAAAUAUAUCAAUCUUAUUUAGUGGUCUCAUGCAUUUGUAUAAUUGUAUUUGUUCAAACUAUGCUCAGGGAGAGAAGUAAUCAGUUCAUUGUCCAAGCUUAUAUAAAAGGUCUUGACUACAUCGAUCU
Molecule: long non-coding RNA, 924 nt
Filed under: Brassica napus (rape)
Lineage: Eukaryota; Viridiplantae; Streptophyta; Magnoliopsida; Brassicales; Brassicaceae
Description: long non-coding RNA (BNAP_LNC014330)
Source: RNAcentral